This 201-nucleotide long non-coding RNA is filed under the name Phoenix dactylifera (date palm). RNAcentral describes it as "long non-coding RNA (PDAC_LNC000784)". Lineage: Eukaryota; Viridiplantae; Streptophyta; Magnoliopsida; Arecales; Arecaceae. The record is from RNAcentral.
UUUUUUUUGCUAAAAACGGGUUUUCAUACAAUACGUGUACGAAUACACCCAAUAAAGUCAAAAAAUACUAACUCACGGAGAGCCAGUGGCAGCUCCCCCUCCCCCACCCAAAGGGUGUAUCCUGAAUGAUGAGCCGCGAAGGCAGCCACCCAAUCGGCUGCCCCAUUGGCUUCUCUAAAUACAUGCUUGGCCUGAAUGGCC